AAGAAAUUGUAUUUUCCUAGGUAUCAAAAAUAUAGUAAAUAAAAGAAAUAAAAAAAGAAAUAGUGGGUUCCUUCGUUUCUAUGGUUACUUCUUAAACGGUGAGGUCUUCUCUAUACACCGGAGCCUUUACUUUAUACUUUAAUUUAAUAUAUAUUUAAUCAACUAAUUGAUGUUAUUGGGAACUUGUAUUGUUCACACGCUUUGGCUCUACCCAUGAAUUAUCCAGUAAUAGGUCUUUCACAAUCAGAUCUACCUAUACCGUAACAGUAUUUAAUUAUGAAAAUUUGCUGGGUAGAUGACCCUCUUAGUCCAUUCUUGCCAGAUUGGGAGCCUAACUAAUCUUUAUGUUUUAUGCUUUUAAAAUAAGAUUUACUCCACUUAAUGGAUAACUAUUUGUUACCAAUGGAGAAUUUCUUAUCAUCUUAAAUUUAGGUGAUUGGAUUUACACCAACGGAAACUAUAAACUUUAUACACAAUAGAGGGAUAUGAAAGAGUUUUUUUAAAUAAUGAACGGAGUUCCUUUUUCCAUCCUAUCCUAUUCACGGUACUGAUUAUUGAUGCUGUAAAAGUCGUUUUGGGGGAUUUCAUGACAUUUCUGAUUGGCUACCUUGUAUUUCUAAUAAGCUGUUUAAUAGUUAGCAUGUUGAAUCGUAUACAUAAUAUGAUGGGUUGGUUUAGAUUGAUCCUAAUCGAAUGAUGAUGAAUUACUUCUAUUUAAUAGAAUAUUUAAUUUAAUAGAAUAUUCAAUUCGAAGAUAAAAUAUUUUUUUCAUUGAACCGCUACAAGAUCAACAAUUCCAUAAGCUUGGGCUUCUGUUGCUGAUAUAAGAGCAUCUUUUUCCAUAUCUUCAGAUACAACCCAGAAGGAUUUGCCCGUUCUUUGUACAUAAACCCUUGUGAGGGUUUUAUUGAUGUUACCUUAUUUAGACGUUACCUUAUUUAGUGUAACAAAAUCAGCUACUGAUUAUCCCUAAAUCAUGUAUCUAAUUUCCUUAAAUCUGUAAUCCUAUAAUUAGGGAUCUCCCCUAUUAUUAGGCUAGUAAUUAAGAGACAAUUAGGACUCCUUUCUCUAUAUAAAUAUUGUAUAGGUUCAUUGUUAUGAUUAAUGAAGAUUGAAUAAUUAUUUCAUGUGUAUUGUUCCAGUUUUUCUUCCUUUAUUUAACUUGGUAUCAGAGCUUUAGAGAUUACAUUAGGGAGAGAAGCCGCCAAUGAAUCUUGUAUCAUCUUAUAAAUAUCAUUGCGAUCAAAUAAUUGUGGUGCCCUUUGUGUUUCUGGAGUGUGUUGUGUGCCCGCAUCCCUUGUCAUUGCCUGAAAGGCUUUAUGAGGAGUUGAACGUUUUACUGAACCAGAUUUCUUAGGACAUUCCAGAAUAAUGUGACCAUCCUUCUUACAGUAGUUACAAUAAUUUCACUUCUUGCAAUGGGAAAUGACAUGCCCUGUUUCCUUGCAAUGAUAGCAUUGAAUUGGUUUGUUAGAGUUUCCCGAGGAAGAACUUUUGCAUGCAGCCAUGGCAAUGUCCACGAAAAGGGAAUUUUCCAUAGAGGCUUGAGAACCUAACCGAGUUUCUUCUCGAAGUACUUCAGAAACCACCACAUCUAAAGCAGGUAGUUUUUCCCAGUUGAGAAUGCUGGCACGUAAAGGCUCGAACUCAGACCUGAGUUUCAUAAGGAAUUGGAUAGUCCUUGUCCUCUUCGUAGUAGUCAUGGAGUCCUUUAGUCUAACGGCACUAAUUGAGGCAGCAAAAAUUUGAUCUUGCUCUGCCCAUAAUCUGAGUAAUCUAGAAUAAAAGCACCAGACACUUUUCUCACCUUGUGUCGAUUUUGCGAGUAUCUUUCUAAUUCAAAUUCUCUAGCCAAAUUUUGUUGGUUACCGAGGGUAUGUAGAUGACUCCAUAUUUCAGAUGCUUUCUCAAAAUAUGACAGUUCCAUAGCUAUAUCAACAAAAAUGGAAUUGACAAGCCAUGUUAUGAUUUUGCCGUUGUUAGCUUCCCGGAUUUCUUUUUCUUCGUCUUCUGUAGGUAUAGCCUUUGAUCCAUCUAGAAUACCAAGGAGGACUUUACCUCUAAUGCAAGCCCUGAAAUGGAUCUUCCAGAUCGGAAAGUUAUGUCCGUCGAAUUUGGUUGACAAGACAUCUUGUGGAUCCAUUCUGUUGGAAUGAAAAAAAUUUGGAGUCGAAGGGAAUAAACAAACAAAUCCAAAGAUUACAAGAAGAGUAACAGAUGUGGAUAAAGAAUCCGAGCCAAAGAUGAAUCAAACAAAUUUUCUAAAAAAAAUGAAUACUCAGGUCUCAUAGAGAGAAAAAAACCAAGGCUUUGAUACCAAGUUAAACAAAGGAAGAAAAACUGGAACAAUACACAUGAAAUAAUUAUUCAAUCUUCAUUAAUCAUAACAAUGAACCUAUACAAUAUUUAUACAGAGAAAUGAGUCCUAAUUGUCUCCUAAUUACUAUCCUAAUGAUAGGGGAGAUCCCUGAUUAUAGGAUUACAGAUUUAAGGAAAUCAGAUACAUGAUUUAGGGAUAAUCAGUAGCUGAUUUUGUUACACUAAAUAAGGUAACGUCUAAAUAAGGUAACAUCGUCACAAAGUAUGAGUUUGGACAAAAGAUAAUUAUGUCGACUUCUUGACAUGGCCUUAGUGAACAAAUCAGCCAAUUGAUCUUUAGAGGAUAUAUAUCUAAGAUUAAUGCUCCGAUCUUCAACUAGUUCUCUGAUGUAGUGACAAUCUAUAUCUAUGUGCUUGGUAUUUUCAUGAUGCACGGGGUUGGUUGCUAUUCUGAUUGCACAGGUGUUGUCUCCAUACAAUAUGGUUGAUCCUUCUAAUGGUAUGGCAUAUUGAUUUCGCUGCAUCUAACCACAUAACAGAAAAUCAAAACUUUUUUCUAAUUUAUCUAAAACAAGUUCCACACAUGAAAUUGUUACUUCAAAUGGCCAUAUUUUAUCUGCAUCGGGUAUGGGUUCUAUUAAACCAUUUUCAGAAGUUCUUUGUGUACCGAAACUUAUUGCAAAUCUUUUAUCCGUUGGAUAACUUGUAGAAUAGAAUUGCUUGGUUAUUUGUUCCUCUAAUGGUUGUAUUAUUCAGAACAUAUUGACAGGGAAAACAAUGGCCGGGGGAGUAAGGUUGGCAGGCUAUUUUUUCUUCAAUCUCCGGACAGAAUUUCAUCAUUGCUUUCUUUCAGUUUCAAAUAAAUACAUUGAUUUUUCAAAUAAAAUGUGGACUUUAUGGCAUCUUCGUUUAGGCCAUCCACAUGAUCCCCGUUUAAAUUUAAUGUUGAAAUCCUGUAAUUUGUUGGGUGAAGAUUCACUAAUUUUGCCCUCUAAAUUACCUUGUGAGAGUUGUGCAAAAUUAAAGAGUCAUAAACUUCCUUUUCAAUUAAGCAAUACUACUUAUUCUACUCCAUUUGAUUUAAUUCAUAGUGAUGUUUGGGGACCUUCUCCAAUUAUAUCUCGUAUGGGUUACAAGUAUUUUAUAAUGUUCAUUGAGCAAGCAUUUCGUUAUACAUGGGUUUUCUUUUUGAAACACAAAUUUGAGGUACCAAACAUUGUCAAAAAAUUUUAUAACCUCAUAGAAACCCAGUUUGAGAAAAAAAUCAAGAUUUUUCAUUCAGAUUCGGGAGAAGAGUAUGUAAAUGCAAACCUCACAAUUUUUUUUCAAGAAAAAGGCAUUGUUCAUCAACUUUCUUGCCUCUAUACACCGGAACAAAAUGGCGUGGUGGAACGUAAGAAUAGACAUGUUGUUGAAACUGCCUUAUCUCUUCUUGAUACAUCAAAUGUUCCAAAAACAUUUUGGGUUGAAGCAAUCCAAACGUCUAUUUAUCUUAUAAAUAGAUAAUCAUCGUCUGUUAUAAAACAAAAUUGCCCUUAUUUUAUCUUUUUUAAAAAAUUGCCCGACUAUUCGCACCUUAAAGUAUUUGGUUUUGUAUGUUUUGUUCUUCUUUCAGACCAUGAACGCCAUAAAUUAAUCUCAAAAGCUGUUAAAUGUAGUUUUUUGGGGUACAAUGAUAUCCAAAAGGGGUAUUUAUGUUAUGAUUCAACACGUCACUUAUUGAGAAUAUCUCGACAUGUUAUCUUCUUUGAAAAUUCUUUUACUUAUACUAGUAAAGACUCGCGAUUGUCUACUAAAUCCUUUUUGGAACAAUUCACGACUCAUGAUUCUGCUAGCCAUAACAACCUACCCGUUGGUUCAUCACCAAAUUUGUCCUCUGCCACAACAGGUACUACUUAUAACUUUGAUCCCUUUUUUGAUAAUGAUAUUACUUCAAUGAAUACUAUCUCUUUACCUGACCAACCUGACUCGCAAAUGUUUCUUUAAAUCAUAAUAAUCAACCUCCUCUUUCUCAAAAUAUCAUUGACCCUGUUAGAUGCUCAUAUCGUCAUGCUUCUCCUCCAAGCCGAUAUGGAUAUUCUACAGGUGAAUAUGGUCGAUCAUAUGCCUUACUAACAACCUUGAAUUCUAUAGUUGUGCCAAAUACUUGCAUGCAGGCUAGUGGUCUGAAAUGUUAGGAAGAUGCAAUGAAUGAAGGACUAGCUGCCCUUGAGGAGAACGAUACGUGGGAUAUGGUGGAUAGACCAACAAAUGCAACAAUUAUUGGAAAUAGAUGGGUGUACUCAGUUAAGAUGAAAGCUGAUGGAUCCCUAGAUCGAUAUAAGGCAAGAUUGGUAACUCAAGGUACAAGCAGGAGUAUGGAAUCGACUACGAAGAAACCUUUGAUCCAGUAGCCAAGAUGAUGCCAGUACGUAAUAAGAAGUUGGAAGUUACACCAACUGGACUUCAAGAAUGCUUUCCUACAUAGAGACUUGCAAGAAGUGAUCUACAUGAAUCCACCACCAGGUUACAAACAUUCUAAUCCAAAUCAGGUGUGUCGUCUUAAGAAAUCUCUUUAUGGAUUAAAGCAGGCUCCUCGCUCAUGGUUUAAAAAAUUCCGAACUACAAUCCUUAGUGCUGGUUUUUCUCAGAGUAGCUCAGAUUAUUCAUUAUUUCUAUGUCAGUCUGGCUCAGGUAUUACUAUUCUCCUUAUUUAUGUAGAUGACAUGAUUAUUACAGGGAAUGAUAAGGUUGGAAUCUCUCAUUUGAAAAAUCUAUUACACUCCUCAUUCAAGAUGAAGGACCUUGGAAAGCUAACAUAUUUUUGGGGUUUAGAGGUAAGUUAUGGAAAAGAAGGCAUAAAAUUGAGUCAGCAAAAGUAUGCAGAAGAUCUUGUUAAGUUAGUUAAUCUAACUGAUAAUAAAAAAGUUCAUACUCCAAUGGAAGCAAAUACUAAAUACAAAAAAGAGGAAGGAGAGCUUUUUGGAGAUCAAACUCUGUAUAGGCGUCUAGUUGGAUCACUUAUAUAUCUUACUAUGAGUCGUCCUGAUAUCUCUUAUGCAGUACAAGUGUUAAGUCAAUUUAUUACAAAACCCUACAAGAUUCACUACUCAGCUUUGCUCAGGGUUAUUAGAUAUAUAAAAGGUACAGUAAAUCGAAGUCUCUUAUUUCUAUCAUCUUCAUCGUUGGACAUAGUGGGAUAUGCUGAUGCGGAUUGGGCAGGAUGCCCUGAUUCAAGAUGAUCCACUAUAGGUUGGUGCAUAUGUCAUGACUCGGCCCGAGGCCCUGGCCAAGACGGAAUGAUAUCAGAACCGCUCCUGUGUCGUCCCUAUCGAUAUGGGCUAGAGUUCAAAUUGAGUGUAGGCAAAUCUUGGUAAGGCGGGGCAAACCUCAGUCCUGAGUCUAGGCAAAUCCCAUUCGGUGGGGAAAACCUCAGCGAGGACUCUGAGUCCAUAAGGGGGGUACAUGUAACACCCCAACUUAGGAAGGAGUCCCACAUCGAUAAAACACAGGAGGGAUGCUGGGUAUAUAAGUGAGAAAACCUUACUCCCUAGUGACACAUUUUAAAGCCGUGCGGGCCUAGGCCCAGAGCAGAUAAUAUCACUAGUGGGUUGGGCAGAGACAGGGGUAUCUCGGGCCUGUGUGGUUUGGGAUGCCCGUCGCGGCCAGGGCCUCAGGCCGGGUUGUGACAGCAUGAUACUUGGAUCAUGCAUGAUCUCUUGGAAGUGCAAGAAACAAUCUCAAACAUCUAAGUCAUCCACAGAAGCAAAGUAUAGAAGUAUGUGAACUGCGUGCUCUGAAAUCAUUUGGCUACGGAGGCUAUUAUCAAAACUUGGCAUCAAAAUAGAAGGAUCAACCAUAUUGUAUGGAGACAACACCAGUGCAAUUAGAAUAGAAACCAACCCCGUGCAUCAUGAAAAUACCAAUCACAUAGAUGUAGAUUGUCACUACAUUAGAGAACUAGUUGAAGAUCGAAGAAUUAAUCUUAGAUAUAUAUCCUCUAAAGAUCAAUUGGCUGAUUUGUUCACUAAGGCCAUGCCAACAAGUCGACACAGUUAUCUUUUGUCCAAACUCAUGCUUUGUGAUACACAACAUAAGUUUGAGGGAGGGUAUUGAUGUUACCUUAUUUAGACGUUACCUUAUUUAGUGUAACAAAAUCAGCUACUGAUUAUCCCUAAAUCAUGUAUCUGAUUUCCUUAAAUCUGUAAUCCUAUAAUCAGGGAUCUCCCCUAUCAUUAGGCUAGUAAUUAGGAGAAUUAAGACUCUUUUCUCUGUAUAAAUAUUGUAUAGGUUCAUUGUUAUCAUUAAUGAAGAUUGAAUAAUUAUUUCAUGUGUAUUGUUCCAGUUUUUCUUCCUUUAUUUAACUGGUUUUAUGCAGUUUCAACAGUUCUUCCGCUUUCACAACACAUUCAGUUAUGUGUUCCAUAUAAAAACUUCUGGAAGGUUUAUGCAUCAUUACCCUGAUGAUAUAACAAAAUAAAAUAUUCUCCUAUCUCACAUGAUAAAGCAAAGAGAAAAUAAAGAUAAAGAAUUGAAAAAGAUAGAAUUGAACAACCGUACAGGCAUCUUUUGUGCAUACGACUCUAAAAGAUAAUUGACCCCCUCCUUUCUAUUGAAGAAAGAGAAAAAAUAGAAUCUAUGAGACUCCAAUGGGUAAGUAAUCAAAUUGUCAUCCUUCCUUUCAGAGGAUUUAAAAAAUACUAUGAUGGCUCUGUUGCUUUAUAUGUUUCUUUUUUCUGUUUUUUGUCUGUGAUUCAACAAUCCCAAAGUUUCUUUUUAAUCCGAUCAAAUAAGGGAAAAAACUUUUUUUUGUACUCUUUCAUAACAUAAAUAUUGUUAAAAACUCUAUGGUAUGAAAACAAAAAAGUUUGUGAUGUUUAUAAGAGAAAAUCGAAAAUACCCCUUAUCUCAUACUACUCUCUCGAUACAGAAUCUAAUGUUUUGAAAAAAAAAAUACAAAAAUUUCUCACAUCGAAUUAGAAGUGUCAUGAUUAGUUCUUGGUAUUCAUAUGGCGAAGGUAUAGUCUUUUUUUUUCUCUCAAAUAAAAACCUCAUUGGCUCCAAGCGUGAGGGAAUGCUAGACGUUUGGUAAUUUCUCCUCCGACCAGGAUAGAAGAUCCUAUUGAAGCGGCUAAUCCCAUGCAUACUGUAUGGAUAUUUGAUCGCACAAAUUGCAUAGUAUCAUAAUAGCCACCCCACGUAUCAGCCAGCCCCCAAGAGAGUUUAUAAACAAAUACAACUCUUUGGUCUCAUCCUCGAUACUGAGAUAUACCAUAAGACGAAUAAGUUGAUUCAAAAUCUCGCUAGUAAUACCUUGGCCUAAAAAAAGUAAUCUUUCUCGAUAAAGUCAGUUGAUUAGAGUAAAAUUGUGUUCCUUAGGAACCGUGCAUACACCUUUUGAUGCAUACGGUUCAAAAAAAUUGUGAAUCAAUGUAUAGAUUCCAGUCCUCUUUCUUUUUUUCUAGAAAGGUUCUUUGUUACUUCUAACGAAAGAGAUUUUCUUCGAUUUUUCAAUAAAGAGGAAUUUUGACUCCUUUUAAUAUUUCUGUUUUCGAUUUUCCAGUAUAAAAUUAGAAGUUAUAAGAAAGGGUCAUUAAACUUAUCGAAUUAACUUCUCAUUGAUGUAUUAUUUCAUCGAGAUUUAAUCCAAACCACGAUGGUAUUUUCUUGUUCCUAAAUGGGUCUGUUACAUUUUUUUAGGUUUAUGCUCUACUCCGGGUAAAGAUCCGCCCAAUUUGGAUUUGUACAUAUAGGAGAAAUGCUCCCAUUACCAUUUCUUUUUGUGUUUUUUUUUUCAAUUCAUUUUUUACAAAUAUUUAUUAGAGUUGAGAUAACUUUGCUUGAAAAUUAGGAUCUCUUCACAAAGAAAAAAUAUGAAUAGCAAUCAUAGAUAUCUUACCAAUCCAAUUGGGUUUUUUCUAAACGGAGCCUGCAUACUUCAUUUUUUUAGUCCAACCAAACCAACCAUAAAUUAUUCUAAUUGAUAAUAGUAAUAUGAAUCCCCUCAAAAAUGGAUCUAAUUGCACUUCACGCUCCAAAUUUUUGAUGAUUCAAUUUAUCGUUUUAUCGUUCUUGGGCGAAACGGGGGAUAUCUCGAUCGGGGGAGAGAACGGGGAAAUACCAUAUGACCCAAUAUAUCUGACAAGUCGCACUAUACGUCAACCCAAAGUGGAUUUGCCUCUCCAGGACCUCGGAAGGGAACUUUCGGAACACCAAUAGGCAUUAAAUGAAAGAAAGAACUAAAUACUAUAUUUCACUUUGAGGUGGAAACGUAACAAUUUUUUUAUUGUCUUUAGAAUAUUCAUAUUGGUUCUUAUCGUAUUUAUUUUAUCCAUAGAUUCUAAAAAUUCCUAAAGAAAGACAGAAUGAAUAAACUCAAAUUAUUACGAAUAGGUCUUUCUAAUGAUAAGUAAGUAUGGACUCAUUCGCUCAUAGAAAUGAGAUCAACUUUCCCAUUACGUAUUGGUACUUAUCGAGUAUAGAAUAAAUCUAUUUCUCUUUGUUCCUACAAAUAGAGUUGUUUCAUUAUUACCACCAGAAUAGAACACCCUUGAUUCGGAAAUAAUCGACUGAACAAGAAUGACCCAUAUGAUAGUCAUAUUAUAGUCUUUUUCAAUGCAAUAAAGUCAUAUAGUGUCCAUUUAUCUUUGAUAUAAGGGGUAUUUUCAUGCGUUUUCCUUGGUAUCGUGUUCAUACCGUUGUAUUGAAUGAUCCCCGUCAGUUGAUUUCUGUUCAUAUAAUGCAUACAACUCUGGUUACUGGUUGGGCCGGUUCGAUAGCUCUGUAUGAAUUAGCGGUUUUUUUAUCCUUCUGAUCCUGUUCUUGAUCCAAUGUGGAGACAGGGUAUGUUUGCUAUACCUUCCAUGACUCAUUUAGGAAUAACCAAUUCAUGGGGCGUUUGGAGUAUCACAGGGGGGACCGUAACGAAUCUGGGUAUUUGGAGUUAUAAAGUUGUACCGGGAGCACAUAUUGUGUUUUCUGGCUUAUGCUUUUUGGCAGCUAUCUGGCAUUGGGUGUAUUGGGAUCUAAAAAUAUUUUGUGAUGAACGCUCUUUGGAUUUGCCAAAGAUCUUUGGAAUUCAUUUAUUUCUCUCAGGGGUAGCUUGCUUUGAUUUUGGUGCAUUUCAUGUAACAGGCUUGUAUGGUCCCAGAAUAUGGGUGUCCGAUCCUUAUGGACUAAUGGGAAAAGUACAACCUAGAAAUCCAGCAUGGGGCGUGGAAGGUUUUGAUCUUUUUGUUCCAGGAGGAAUAGCAUCUCAUCAUAUUACAGCAGGAACAUUGGGCAUAUUAGCGGGCCUAUUCCAUCUUAGCAUUCGUCCGCCACAACGUCUAUACAAAGGAUUGUGGUAUGGCUCCAGUAGUAUUACUGUUGUCUUUUUUGCAGCUUUUGUUGUUGCCGGAACUAUGUGGUAUGGUUCAGCAACUACCCCGAUUGAAUUAUUUGGGCCCACUCAUUAUCAAUGGGAUCAGGGGUACUUCUAGCAAGAAAUAUAUCGAAGAGUUAGUGCUGGGCUAGUAGAAAAUCAAAGUUUAUCAGAAGCCUGGUUUAAAAUUCCUGAAAAAUUAGCUUUUUAGGAUUACAUCAGCAAUAAUCCAACAAAAGGAGGAUUAUUGAAAGCAGGUUCAAUGGAUAACAGGGAUGGAAUAAGCGGUUGGAUGGUUAAGACACCCUAUCUUUAGAGAUAAAGAAGGGUGUGAACUUUUUGUACGUCGUAUGCCUACUUUUGUUGAAACAUUUCCGAUCGUUUACUAGACGGAAAUGGAAUUGUUAGAGCCGAUGUUCCUUUUAGAAGGGCAGAGUCGAAGUAUAGUGUUGAACAAGUAGGUGUAACUAUUGAUUUCUAUGGUGGUGAACUCAAUAGCAUUAGUUAUAGCGAUCCUUCUACUGUGAAAAAAUAUGCUAGACAUGCUCAAUUAGGUGAAAUUUUUGAAUUAGAUCGUCAUACUUUGAAAUCCGAUGGUGUUUUUCGUAGAAGUCCAAGGGGUUGGUUUACUUUUGGGCAUGCUUCGUUUGCUGGCUCUUCUUCUUCAGACACAUUUGGCAUGGUGCUAGAACCUUGUUCAGAGAUGUUGUUGCUGGUAUUGACCCAUAUUUAGAUGCUCAAGUCGAAUUUGGGGCAUUCCAAAAACUUGGAGAUCCAACUACAAAAAGACAGACAACCUGAUACAACAUUGCUUUGGUAUCUUUCUUUUUCCCUUAUUUUCUUUCUGUUACUUUUAUUGACAUAGGGUACUAGAAAAAUCUUUAUUUGAAUCAACUUCGUUUUUACUCUUGUUCGUUCUUUAUCUGGAAGAUGAUAAAAAAAAGAAAAUAAAAAAAAAAAAAACAGGUAUGAAAGCUAUAACUGUAAACCACGAUUGAAUCUAUGAAAGCAUUGGUUUAUAUAUUCCUCUUAGUUUCGACUCUAGGAAUAAUUUUUUUCGCUAUCUUUUUCGUGAACCGCGUAAAGUUCCAACUAAAAAGAACUAAAAAGAUGAAAUAGUUUUUCAUUAUCUCAGUUGAAUUACUGAGCCUCCCGAUAUCGGGAGGCUCAAUACUUCAACUAGUUUCCAUGUUCCUUGAAUAGAUAUCUUUGUUGUUGAGAAGGUUGCCCAAAAGCGGUAUAAAAGGCGUACCCAGUAAAACUUACAAGUAAACCAGAUAAAAAGAUGGUGAAUAGGGUUGCUGUUUCUUUGGGGUUAUCUGAAUCUCAUAUCAUGCCUAAAUCUGUAAUGUUCUAUGGCUGAAUGAACUGAUCACCUCCUGGAAUCUCUGGCACUCCCGCAUCUAAACAUAUAUAUGUUAGAAAACAUGGGAAUGCCAGUGCUGUGUCGGUGCUUACUGCUCAGUCGCAGAUCUCUCUCCCUAUCCACUUGGCUACAUCAAACUCGUAGCCCUCCAUGAUGUCCACAACCAAGGCUACUCGGUUUGGACUCAAUACAUUGUCCCCAUAAGUGGGACUCAACCUAUGAUGCACAAGCAUCCACCACGCCUUCACCAAGAAGUUCAAGCCUUCAUAAUCGAUGACGAGGCGCCAAUACCUCCAACUACCCAAGGAGCCUCCUCCCGAUUUUCAGCAAUAAUAUCGGCCAUCCACUAAAAAUGAGUAAGCUCAUCCUUUGAUCCAGUCUAUUUUACCUUUACCUUCUGCAUUGAUGUGGUAGUCAAUAUCAACUGUGUUGGCUGGUAACUAUAAUUGUGGCCCAUGAAGUAAUCUUGAAAUCAUUUUUGUAGAGAUGUUCACUUGGACACCUCUAAUCAUGCCAUCUACGUAUGGAUCACCACUUUUCCAUAGUCGCCCUAUGGAUACAACCUCUUGAGAUCCAUCUGAUAUGAUGUGUAGAACUCGCCACUUCUUACUGCCAUAUUUAUAUUAAUGCACUUUUCAAUGACACGUAAACAGGGUAUUUCUGGGACUUUAUAGAUAGAGCAAAAAAAAUAUAUCCUAAAUAUUUUUAAUCAAUCAUUUAUCAGUUGGUGGGGGAAUAUAUAGUAUUUCAUUGCUACAAGCAUGGAUUAUUGAAAAUAAUAAGACAUGGAUUUGGAUAUUUCCCUUUAACUAUUCAUGUCAACUAAAUAGGGGGAUUGAAAGAAAUUUUGUGAAGAGAAAAUGGAUUAUGGGAGUGUGUGACUUGAAUUAUUGCUUGGUUUGUGUAGAUAUAUGCCUGCCACAUGGGAAUUCGCAACCAAAUGUGUUUUUGUUUCAACUGCCGUGUAAGCCCUAUACAGAGGAUAGGCUGGUUUGCUUAAAGGGAAUCUUUUCUAUGAUCAGGUCCGAAUCAUGUUGUACAUGAGCAGACUUCGUAAGGUCUAGUAUAAGUGAACUAGAUAAAAUGAAAUCUUGAUUCUGUUUUAUCUAGUUCACUUAUAAGAUUUAAUAGUAUGUAAUUGUAUUCAUUUCCUCUUCAUUAACACGAUCAAUACUACUAUCGGAGCGAAACAAGGGAUCUAAAGAAGAAGAGAAUCUAGACUAUAUUAGUAACAAUCAAACCUUGUAUGUGUAUCUCCAAGCAUUUUGGAGAUAAAUACCAAUUAGAAGGUCUGAGACUGAUACAAGAAAAUCAAAGAACUCACGAAAUGACUCAAAACAGUCCACAAACACACUCCAAAAUAAUUCACAAAUCACUAAGAUCCUUGGACCGAUUGGAGACCUCUCUCAGAUUCUCAAUACAACACAAGAAUGAGAACCCAAACUAGAUUAAAAACACAUAAAAUGAAGAACAAGAAGACAACAAUUUCGUCCAACAAGAACAAACACAAAUCGAGAGUAGAGAACAAGAACAACAUAACAAGUUCGCAAGAAUGAAAAGGAUAGAUAGUGAGACAAAAUUUACUACAAGAUUAAGAACCAAGUGUAUUUCAACACCAACCCCUAAUUAAUGUAAUAAUCAACACCACACUCUUACGGUGACAGCCAAGGGAACCAAUGCACCUCAAGAUCCACCAUUUCCAAGCAAAGGUCAAUACUAGCUUUUCCAACCACUAAACUACAAUGGCUAUUCCAAGCCCUAACUAAGACGACACUAAGGUGUUCUACUCUCAAAGAGAGGACUUUAAAUGUUUCAAUAUUUCGUCCUUCAUAAAACUAAUGAGAGAAGACCUAAAAAGUCCUACUUAUAGUAUAUUAUAAAAGAAGGCAAAAAAGACUACACUACCCUUAAUGACCAAGGAUGGCCUUGAUGUGUUGAAAACAAUAUGAAUUGUCCAAAAUUUCCUUAAGUUAAGUGAUCAUAAUUCCCUAAAUGAAGGGAACCAAAACUGUGAACCAACAAAGGUGAUCCAAACUUGAGUCCUUAAGUCUUCAAGGCUCCAAGCAAUCUUCCACACUCGGGUUUGUUCAAUGGUAGGCUCAAAAUGUUCCCUCCAAGUAUGAUCCCAUGCCCUCCAUGCGAUCAAAUCUUGAUUCUUCACAUAGUGACUUUGAAUGAUGUCUUCGAAAGCUAAGGCGACCAUUAUUCUUGUAUCAGAGACGACCCAAAAAGCACUUGAUCAUAUCAUGAUCUAAUUUGUAAGCCUACUAGGGUCUUGAGUAUUUACUAGUAAGAACAGAAUUCUUUGUUUUGUAAUGGAUAGUCGCAGUUCCAUUAAAAAGAAUUCAGUCAAUUUUUUCUUACAUUGAACCAUUCUUCUAUCAUAUAUGUGUGUGUAAAAACAGGUACCAUAUAAAUAUUUUAUAUAGAUAUAUGGAUUUUCAUUUAGUUAUUUUUAUUCUUGCUCGAGCUGGUUGAUUAAAAAUUAUCAUAUCCAGUUUCCUUAGGGGAUGGAUCUAUAAGAACUCACCUAUCCCAAUAACAAAAAAAAAACUGACUUGAAUGAUCCUUUAUUAAGAGUUAAAUUGGCUAAAGGUAUGGGUCAUAAUUAUUAUGGAGAGCCUGCAUGACCCAAUGAUCUUUUAUAUAUUUUUUCAGUAGUAAUUCUACGUACUAUUGCAUAUAAUGUAGGCUUAGCCAUUUUAGAACCAUCAAUGAUUGGUGAACCGGUAGAUACAUUUGCAACCCCUUUGAAAAUCUUACCUCAAUGGUAUUUCUUUCCUAUAUUUCAAAUAUUUCGUACACUGCUCAAAAUAUUGUUGGGGGUUCUUUUAAUGGUUUCAGUACCUGCGGGAUUAUUAACAGUACCUUUUUAGAGAAUGUUAAUAAAUACCAAAAUUCAUUUCGCCAUUCAUUAGCGACGACUGUCUUUUUGAUUGGUACCGUAGUCACCCUUUGGUUGGGCAUUGGUGCAACAUUACUUAUUGAUAAAUCCCUAACUUUAGGUCUUUUUUAAAAUUUUUAAUUUUAAUUGAUUCAAUUGUGAAAUAACACGACAUGUGUAUCUAGGGAAUAAUUUCUUCAAAGAGAAUUCUCCCUAGCUACAUCUAAUCAAUUUAAUUCUGAAUUUAUUUCUAAUAUAUGAUGUUUUAAUUGUGCUAAAGAUUUCAAUCUAUUUUGACUAAAUAAGUCCAAUAGAUUUAAAACUUAUUUUUUGCCAAAUCAAUUACGAAAUAGUUUUCUAAAGUGCCCAAUAUCUGUUUUAUAUCUUCGCUACGAAAAUGUUCAAUUUUCAUAAGAUCUUCUGAUCUGUUAUUCAAAAGGUCCAAUAAUGUAUAUAUAUCGGACAUUUUGAGGCAAUUAUAGAUCCUGGAAGGCAAUUCUGAUUGGUCAAUAAAAAUCAUUUUCAAUGCUAUUUUUUUUUUGUUUUUUUAUGAGUUUAGCCAAUUUAUCAUGAAUGGUAAAAAGGGAUAAAGGAACCGUGAGUUGAUUGUCUAGUAAAAAUAAAUUGUCUUCCUCCAUAUGUAAAAAGAAAAUAAAUAAAUCAAUUAAAUUUCAGGAUGCUUAAUGAAGUGCUUCUUUCGGAGUUAAACUUCCGUUUGUCCAUAUAUUUCGAUAAAAAGUAUCUCUUAUUUUUUAUUUCCAUUCCCAUAAGAAUGAAUACUAUGAUUCGUGUUUCGAACAGGCAUGAAUACAAUAUCUAUAGGAUAACUUCUAUCUUGAAAGUUAUGUGGCAUUUUUAUAAGAUAUCCAUGAUUUCUCUCUAUUUGUAGUCUAAUACAAAAAUUAAUUGGUUCUGUUAAACUAGCUAUAUGUUGUGUAUUAUCAACGGUUUCUAAAUAAGGUGGCAAGAUGAUAUCUUAAGCAGUUACAUAUCUAGGACCCUUGACACAAAUAGACUCGUCAGAAGUUCCAUAUACAUUACUUCUCAAUACAAUUUCUUUUAAAUUCAUUAAAAUUUUAUGUAUCGAUUCUUGAAUGCUCGUUAUGGUAGAAUAUUCACAUGGGACUUUCUCAGAUUUUACACAUGUAAUACAUAUUCCUUCUAUUUCUCCAGGUAAAUCUCUUCGCAUCACAAUGCCUAUUGUGUCAGCUUGGCCUUUCAUAAGUGGAGACAUAAUAAAGCAUCCAUAAUAAAGGCGUUUACUAUCUAUUCUUGAUUCAACACACUUCCACUAUAGUGUUCGAGUAGAUACUGUUACUUUCUCUCGAACCAUAGUACUAUUAUUUGAUUAGAUCAUCGAAUAUUUUAUUUCUCUUGAGAUUUCUUCAAUGUUUCAUUCUACACACUUCUUUUUUCGGAGGUCUACAACCAUUAUAUGGCAUAGGAGUUACACCCCGUAUGAAAAUUAAUAGUAUACCACUUCGACAAAUAUCUCAUAAUGCUGCAUCUCUUCCGAGAUCGGGACCUUUUAUCAUGACCUUUUAUCAUGACUUAUGCUUGUUGCAUACCUUGAUCCACUACGGUACGGAUAGCGUUUGCUGCUAUGGUUUGAGCAGCAAACGGUGUUCCUUUUCUCAUACCUUUGAAUCCUGAAGUACUAGCAGAGGACCAAGAAACUACUCGACCCCAUACAUCUGUAACAGUGGCAAUGGUAUUAUUGAAACUUGCUUGGACAUGAAUAACUUCCUUUGGUAUUCUAAGUGCACCCUUACAUGAACCAAUACGUCCAUUCCUACGCAAACUAAUUUUUAGUAUAACUUUUGUCAUAUUUUAUCAUCUCAUAAAUAUGAGUAAGAGAUAUAUGGAUAUCUCCAUUUCAUGUCAAAACAGAUUCUUUAUUUGUACAUCGAAUCUUCUGACAAGUCUGAUUAUUCUUGUCUUUGUUUAUGUCUUGGGUUGGAACAAAUUACGAUAAUUCGUCCCCGCCUAUGGAUUAGUCGAUAUUUUUUACAAAUUUUAUGAACGGAAGCUCUUAUUUUCAUAUUUUUCAUUCCUGACCUUAAUUCUUAAUCUAUUUCUUGGAAGAAAAUAAGUUUCUUGAAAUUUUUCAUCUCGAAUUGUAUUCUCCCGAAAGGAAUGGUGAAGUUGAAAACCUAAUUCUUCAAAUCUUUGUUUUGUAGUCGAUAAAUUAUACACCCUUUGAUUGAAUAAUAAGGACUUACUUCAAUUUUUACUCUAUCUCCAGGCAGUAUCCGUAUAAAACUAUGUCGGAUCUUUCCUAAAAUAGAAUUUAGAAUCAGAUCUAAACGAAUUGGGAAUAGACCGUUGGGAAGAGAUUCAGUAAUUAAAGAUUUAUAUCUCCAUUUUGGUUCUUAAAAUUCCCUUGAGGUAUCAACUAAUGAGAAAGAUAUUAGACAACCCCCUUUUUUUCACAAAUUUAACAAAUAGAAAGUUUCGAAUCCAGUUUGGAUAUUAUAAAGGAUUGCCAGAUAUAACAUAAAAUUUCUCCACCUAUUUCUUCUAGUCGAGCCUCUCGGUCUGUCAUUAUACCUUGAGAAGUAGAAAGAAUUGCAAUUCCCAUUCCACCUAAAAUUCUCGGAAUUCGUUGAUAAUCAGAAUAGAUUCAUAGACCAGGUCGACUUAUUCAUUUUAAAUUUAAAAUAUUUCUAUAGGGUCUUUUCCUAUUCCUUCUAUGUCACAGGGUUAAAACCAAAAAAUAUUUAUUGUUUUCUCGAUGUUUUCUCACGUUUUCGAUAAAACCCUCUCGUAAAAGUAUUUGAACAAUAUUUUCGAUAAUAUUUGUAGAUGCUAUCCGAACCACCCUUUUUCAAUCCAUAUCAACAUUUCGUAUAGAAGUUAUUAUCUCAGCAAUAGUGUCCCCAUGAUGAACUAAAAUUAUUAGGUUCUCCAAAUUUGAUAUAAUCGUGUUUUUCACUUAUUUUUUUUGAAUAUGAUAUGAAUCAUUAAAGAUAUAUGUGUGAGACACAAUCUACUAAUUAAUCUAUUUCUUUCAAAUACCCAACUAGAAACAGAUCACAAUUUCAUUUUAUAAUACCUCGGGAGCUAAUGAAACUAUUUUAGUAAAAUUUAAUUCUCUCAAUUCCCGGGAUAUUGCACCAAAAAUUCGAGUUCCUUUUGGAUUUCGUUCUUGAUCAAUAACAACCACAGCAUUGUCAUAUCGUAUUAUUAUCUCGUUAGCACGUUUGAUUUCUUUACAGGUACGUACAAUUGCAGCUCUGACUAUUUCUAAUCUUUCUAGGGGCAUAUUUGGUACUGCUUCUUUGAUCACAACAACAAUAAUGUUACCAAUAUGAGCAUAUAGACGAUUUCUAGCUCCUAUGAUUCGAAUACACAUCAAUUCUCGAGCCUCGCUAUUAUCUGCUACAUUUAAAUGGGGUUGAGGUUGGAUAAUUUUUUUAAUUCGUUCUUUGAAUGCAAAGGAUGAAGAAAAAAAAUAUUUUUGUCCAAAAAAAAAAAGAAACAUGUGGUUUUGUUUCAUAUCUAAGAGCCCUUUCUACAUUUUUGUCUAUUACAUUACGAAAUAAUGAAUUGAGUUCGUAUAGGCAUUUGGAUGCUGCUAGUGAAAUAGCCCUUUUGGCUAUAUUUUUUGUUACUCCACCCAUUUCAUAAAGUACUCGCCCCGGUUUAACAACGGCUACCCAAUAUUCAGGGAAUCCGUUUCCUGAACUCAUACGUGUUUCUGCGGGUCUUAGUGUAACUCGUUUGUCUAGAAAUAUAUGUACCCAUUCCACCAUGAUGUGCAUUUCAUGUCAUUGCUCGUCGUCCUACUCCUAUUUACCGAGAUGUAAUCCAAGCAGGUUCAAGUGGUUGAAGAGCGUAUUUACCGAAAGAAAUAUGAUUACCUCGAUAAGAUAUUCCUUUCAUUCUUCCUCUAUGUUUUUUAUGGAAUCUGGUUCUUUUGGGGUUAUAGUUGAUGGUUGUUUCUGAAUUCCAUCUCUACUACAGAACCGGACGUGAGAGUUUCUUCUCAUCCAGCUCUUCGCAAAUAAAAGAAUUCCUAAAAAUUCAAUUUGAAUUAAGUUACAAGAGUCAAUCUUAAAUUAAGAUAUAUAUGUAUUUACUGAGUAAUACCUUGAACGUGGGCUUCUUUGAGUUUUGAUUAAAUCUAUUAGUAAUUUCUAUAUCUUGUUUGAAUAGAUAACUAAACUUUUUAGUUUUAUAAAUAGAAAUAUAAAAAAUUGUAUUAUUAUACCAAAUCCUUAUUUUGUCCUUUAGUCCUAAAUUUUGAAAUAAAAAAAAAAAUUCGCGGGCGAAUAUUUACUCUUUCAAUCCCUAUUUCAUUUGUAGGGUUAACUCGUGAUUUCUCAGAUCUCAGAAUACAUGAAUUAAUCUCUGGUUCGUUCCGCCAUCCUGACCAGUGAAUCAUUAAGAUUCCUUGUUCAAUAGAAUCUUUUGUAUUCACAAGUUUCGUCGUUCCCAUCACUUCUGACUUAAUGAUUAGGUCCGAAUUCUACAAUGGAAAUCAUAAUGAAAUUGGUUCUUGAGUCAAUCUUCUCAGUUUUUAUUGGCUCGAAGCUCUUGAUUUUUUGCUCUAUUUUUAUAUUUCUAUAAAGAAGAUUCUUUUUAUUAUGGUAUGAAUACAUAUUGAUGCUUUAUUGCACUGUUUUUCAUGAGAUUACUCAUAGACCUUACAAUAAGUACUUUGCUCCAGUUUCGCCUUAGAUUUUGAAGUUGAUACUUAUUAUUCCAAAGCUCAAUAUUCUUGAGCCCCAUUAAAUAUAAAUUAAAUCACCAAAAGAAUAGUUGUAGGGAUCUCUAACUUCCCAAAAUUGAAGAGGGGGCAUUUGAUAAUUUCCAUAAACCAAUGGUACUAUUGGUUGUUCUUCUUUCUUUUUAUCCACUAGAUCAACACUCACAACAUCAGCAAAGCCAACUUUCUUCCUUAGUAUAGUGACAAGCUUUUCUACAUCAAUUCCUUCACCUAUCACCAUUAGCUCAUUCUUUUCUUCUCCUUCUAUAGCUACUUUCUCUAGUCCUGCAAAAAUAUUAAAUUAUUCAACUACAACAAUAACGUAUCCAGUGUAUUCCCACAUAGUGGGGUCUGGGGAGGGGUAGAGUGUACGCAGUGUGCUCCCACAUAGUGGGGUCUGGGGAGGGUAGAGUGUACGCAAACCAUGCCACUAUCUCCGAAGAAGUAGAGAGACUGUUUCCGAUAGAUUCCCAGCUUAGGACCGAUAACAGUAUAGCAAAUCACAAAGCAUAAGUGCAUAUAAAGUAGUAAGGUAUGCAAAAUAAACAUUCAUUUUUAUAUUUUUACUAGUUAGGAGACACAGGCUCAACAUCUAUCCUAAAUUAAUAGUAUAAAAAUAACUAUAUCAAUUAAUAUGACGUGUUUUGAAUUUUGAAAUCUAAAUAAAUUUAUUUUUAUGAGUAAUUUUUACAUAUAUACUUAUAAUAUUUUAAAUUACUAAUUAUUGUGAUUUAUUAAUUACUCAAAUAUAUAAUUUUGUUUCAAAAAUUUAAUUAACAAUCAAAAUUAAAAUCUAAAAAUGUAUAAAUUACUGCAAAUAAAGAGCGUGGAAAGCAAAAUUCGAUGGGCUUAUUUAACUAUUUUUUUUUAGAAGAGUGCAAAAUUUAUUGGUCCAAUAAAUAAACAAUUACUAAUAAAGGUGCAAGUAAGUUUAAGAGGCUAAAAAAUACCGAUGUCAUUGAGGAUCAAUCUUGAGAACUCAAACAUGAAAAGGCGGGCUGAAACCACCUGGCCAAAACAGCUUACACAUCAAGGAAGCACACAUUCUUAUGUAGCAUCUGUAGCAUUAUUUUAAGUGGUCCCCUACUUUUAGCCCCCUAAGAAAGUUACUGUGCUAAAAUCCCCCUUUUCACGCCAUUCUUAUUUCUCUUUCCUUAAUUUAAAUUCUUUAUUCCUUUUCUUUCGCCAUUAACAAUCUCUCCCACUUCAAAUUUUGUUCCUUUUGCAUGAUUCUAGCACGAUCUGUGAUAAUGAUUUACUUCCUCUAUUUCAGGUAACUAUUAAUCGCAUAUUGCAUGCUAGCAGUUUUUUUUUUCUACUGUAAUUCAACUUAAAAUCAAAUUUUAAGGGUUUUAUGUUUUAAUGGAUGAACAUACAACAAAAACACCAACAAAUAGCGGUAUACGGAAUAUGAAUGUAGAGUUUGAUUAUGCACAAUCUUUUAGUCUUAUGUUAACUCAAGAAGAUUUAGUUAAAGUUAUUGUAAAUCCUAUACAGUUGAAGAAAUCUGGGAGAUCGAAGGAGAUUAGGUCGAAGUUUCGCAAUGACCCAGUGAAGAUCAGUGAAAUUUUGAAAAAAAAAGGGUUGAAGAAGGAGCAAAAAAAUUAAAAACAGUACGAAAAGAAAAGGAAAGUUGAAGAAAUUGAAGACGAUGUUCAGAAAUCUUAUGUUGAUGAUUCUUAAGAAGAUAGUGAGGAUGGGGUAUUAUUUUGUUUGUAAAUGUAUUUUUUUGACUGAGUGUUGUUCUAAAUAGGGAAAUAAAGAUAUUAUCAAAGUUGCGAGUUAAAGAUACAGGGCAAUAAGUACUAUUAAGUAUUGUGUUAACUACUCAUGAACUGUCUAUUGGCUAUAUGUAUUUUUAGUAUAAUUGAUAUGUAUUUUUCAGUAUUGGUUGCAUUUUUUGUCUGCUUAAAAUACAUAUGCUUGUUUAUAUGAAUUUUUUUCUUAUCCGGCUGUUCUUGUUCAGAUCAAGAAAUUAGCUGAGAUUAUCUCUUUGUGUCUCCAAGCUUGUGAUUUCUACAAUAAGAAAGGAAUUGAUCUACAAAAUCAUUCAAGAUAUAAAGACAAAGAUUACUCAGAUCUGUUUGAUGUGAUAUUUGAAGAGAAUUUGCCUCAACAAUCGAGUGGAAGCUUGUAAGUUUUUAAUUUACAUAUACCAAAAUUGAAUGUUUGUACAAAAUAUAUUUUACUUAUAAAUAAAUAUUUUUUUCUUGUUUUUGUAGGGAUUGUGGUCUCUUUAUGGUUACAUAUGCAGAGUGUCUUUCUUAUGGUCACAAAGUUAUUGCGAUUGAGUUCGACCCCAACGCACUCCGUACAAGAUAUGCUGCACUUUUGUGGGACUAUGGGAUCCGAAAACAAGAAGCAAAUGCUCAUAGUGAUGUCGAAUCACCCUUGAGGCCUGCAAGACAAAGUAGAAUAACUAGUGUUACUGAAGUUUUUGAUGUAUGAUGAUUGAUGGAUUUAUUACUUUGUAUAGUUAGAGAAACUAGUGUAUGGAUGUAGGUUCUGAUUGUACAAACUAAUUUUUAUGUUUUGAAGUAGUUCUAAUUGUAGGUUAUAAUAGUACUUAUUUUUUAACUGAAUGAAAUUAAUUCUGAUUUGAAUUGGGUCUAAUUUUGAUUUGAAUUAAAGUUUAAUUUGAUUAUUUUAUGCAGUUAUAUACUUUACUGUGAGAUUUAGUUAAAAAAAAUACAUAUGUAGUGUUCAUAUUAUUCUUAAAAAUACGUAUGUAGUAUCAAUCAAAAGUUUUUAUCCUAAAAAUACAUAUGCAGUGUUAAGAUUAAGCAUUUUCAAAAAUACAUCCGGACCAUAUCUAAUAUAUUUUUUAAUAUGUUUUCAUUUAUUAUUAAUAUAAAUGCGAAUUUGAAUUAAAUAUAAACUUUUGUUUUUUAUGAAGUUCUACUUUGUAUUGUGAGAUUUUAGUUAUAAAAUACAUAUGCAGUAUUGAUAUUUUGCUUAAAAAUACAUAUGCAUUAUACAUCAAAUGUAUUUACCCUAAAAAUACAUAUGCAGUGUUAAAAUUAAGAAUUUCAAAAAUACACCUUGAUCAUAACUAAUAUAUAUUUUAAUAUGUGUUCAUUUAUAAUCAUUAUAAAUGAGAAUUUGAAUUAAAGACAAAUUUGAGUUUUUUAUGCAGUUCUACAUUUUAUUAUGAGAUUUUAGUUACAAAAGAUACAUAUGUAGUGUCGAUAUUUUGCUUAAAAAUACACAUGGAUUAUGCAUCAAAAUAUUUUUUAGAAUAAAAAUACAUAUGAAGUGUUGAUAUUUUGCUUUAAAAUACAUAUACAUUAUACAUCAAAUGUAUUUACCCUAAAAAUACAUAUGCAGUCUUGAUAUUUUGCCUAAAAAUACAUAUGCAUUAUACAUCAAAUGUAUUUACCCUAAAAAUACAUAUACAGUGUUAAAAUUAAGCAUUUCAAAAAUACACCUUGAUCAUAACUAAUAUAUAUUUUAAUAUGUGUUCAUUGAUUAUAAUUAUAAAUGAGAAUUUGAAUUACAGAUAAAUUUGAAUUACAGUUGAAGUUGUGAUGUGGAUCGGAGAUAAUCAUCUCAACCAUAUCCAUCUCAAAUACAUCUAAUGAUGUAGUUUCUUUAGAAACUACCAAAGAUCCUUCAUUGUAUGCACUUAAUACUGCUUGAACGUUGUUACAGCAGGCGCUUCUUUCAGCAAGACACACAGAUGAACUUGCAAAGUUUCUCCCUACAACUUUCUCCAAAAUGCUUACAUAUAAAGGAAGAUAAUUCAUGUCUUGUAUAUCUUUUUUCUCCAACAUAAAAACCUUUAAACCCAUAUCAUUGUGUAUUUGUAUUUUCCCUAUAUUACCAGUGAUUUGAUACUCCAUUAGAAUACGUUUGUUGGUUAAGUCCACAUUUAAAUGUGAUGCCAAAACAUCAUGCAGCUCAAUGAAUGAUGAUGUUGUGCUCAAAAGUAUAGCAUCAGUGACGUAAUCUUCACAGUUUUUUUCAUACGUCCACCUACCAGAGUGCUUCACAAGAACUGGUAUGCUAUCCAUUUCUACAUGAUUUAAUCAAAAAUAAAAAAAAAAUACAUAUUUAUCAGGUAUCACUUGUUUCAUCAUACACUUAUCAGCUUUAUGUGCAAACAAGUUUACACAGCCAAUAUCUCCAUUACAAACACAGCAAAAGUUUGCAACCAAAUACAGAAACUACUGAAUCGAACACAAGUAAAAAAGAUAUAAAAGAUAUUUUCAUAUACACUUUUCAGCUUUAAGUGCAAACAAAGUUCCACAACAUAUGUAUUUUUAGGCUAAAAAUAUAUUAAACAACAUUUGUUUAAAGUAAAAUACAAACACAGAAAAAGUUUCUAACCAAAUACAUAAACUACUGAAUCGAACACAAGUAAAACAGAUAUAAAAGAUCUUUUCAUAUACAUUUUUCGGCUUUAAGUGCAAACAAAGUCCCACAACAUAUGUAUUUUUAGGCUAAAAAUACAUUUAAACAACAUUUAUUUAAAUUAAAAUACAAACACAGAAAAAGGUUCAAACCAAAUACAUAAACUACUGAAUCGAACACAAGUAAAACAGAUAUAAAAAGAUCUUUACAUAUACACUUUUCAGCUUUAAGUGCAAACAAAGUUACACAGCAUAUGUAUUUUUAGGCUUUAAAUACAUUUAAACAACAUUUGUUUAAGGUAAAAUCCAAACAUAGGAAAAGGAGUUUCGAAAACAAUUGAAUAAACUUCAAAUCUAAAUUUGUUUAUAAUAUAUUCAUAAUCGAUUAUACAACAAAUUGAAAAAAUUCUACAAAGCUUCACAAUUUGUUCAAUUGUUAAAACAAUCAAAAUAACAACAAACAAUCCCCAAAACAAUAGUUGAAUUUCGAAGUUUUAAUAUCUGAAACAACUGUUAAGAUGAAAUCUGCAAAAGAUACUUGAAUUUCGAAGUUUUUUGUUCUAUAUGUUGAAUUUACUGCUGCAUUGCUUCUAACUCAAAAUUCGUUUACAAAUUUUUCAAAAACAAAUUAACGACGACAACAGAAACUAGAUAGGUACAUCAGUAAUGGUUAAAAAAAAUCAAACCAAAAAAUAAUAAUGAUUAUGUACCUUAAACAAUAGUAAUGGUUGAAUUUCAACUGAUUGUUGAAUUCAAAUAAAUUGAACUGAAGAAUCUACAAUUGAAUUUGAUUCAAAGAAAUUAAUGCAUCGUUUUGAAACUGCUGUUGAUUUAGAAGAAGAUUCAAUCGAAUUUUUCAACAACAACAAUGGUUGAAUUUCAAAAACACGGAUGGAUUAGAAAAAAUUGCUCAGAAAAAGAUUCAGCAGAUUUUGAUAUUGCUUUUUUUUUUCGAUGAACUUGUUAAUGGAAAAAACUGAAAUUUGAAUUGUGUUUACUGAUGUCAACAUAUAACGGAAAUCACUUUUUGUAAGAGGUUUAAAUGGAAAAGGAAUCUAUAAAUUUAAUUGAUUGGUAAUUAUACCAUAUUUAGCUCAACCAAUUUCAGGUAAUUGAGGGCAGUAAAUUUGUUAUAUAUGUAUUUUUAUAGCAACAGUUUUUAAAAAUACAAAAUACAAGUUGCUACAAAAUGUAAUUAAGAAACUGUUGCUAUAAAACUAAUAAUUAGGGUCUCAAGUAUGCUAUUUCUGAAUUUUGCCCUUUUUUAGAAGAGUGCAAAAUUUAUUGGUCCAAUAAAUAAAUAAUUACUAAUAAAAGUGCAACUAAGUUUAAGAGGCUAAAAAAUACCAAUGUCAUUGAGGAUCAAUCUUGAGAACUCAAACAUGAAAAGGCGGGCUGAAACCACCAGGCCAAAACAGCUUACACAUCAAGGAAGCACACAUAUUGAUCGAUUUAGUCAUUUUGAUUAGUUUUAAUGCUGUGAGGUCUUUUAGAAAAAAUCAUAUGGAUUUAGUUAAAAGUGGAUAAUUUCACAUAAUGUGAAAGUAUGUUUGUGUUGUUUCAGCUGCCAACAACUGACAUCAGAGUCUACUUGCCGAUUUGCUAUCUUUACUCGUAGGAUCAGAGAGAUAUACACAAUAAAAAAAUUGUAUAAUAUAUCUUAUGUUAAAUCAAAAGUAACAUCUGAACACUAUAGUCUUAAACAUGUCACUUGAUUCAAUAAGAAUAAAAAUAUUAAAAUAACAAAACUUAAUAAUUACCUGGUAUUUUUGCUGCAUUUGAUAAAAUCUUCCUUUGAUUUUUGGAGCUACUACAUUGGGAUUUGUGCCCACAACAUUUUACAAAAUACUUUAACUUCAAAAAUUCUACAACAAACUUCUUCAUUGUAAGAUGUGAGUUUCCAUUUAUAGAAACCCUAAUGACAAUUUUUUUCUGCAUUAAGACCACCAAAAAAAAAAAGGUCAAUCAACAAAAUUCAAUAAAAUGAGUUUUGGUGGAUGCCACCAAAAUAAUUUUUGCAGUUAAACCUCUAUAUAAAAACAUCAUACUUCUUAACUGUUAUAAUAAAAUAUUAUUAUAGAAAUUAAGAAAAAUGCUCUAUUUUCAUCUGGAACUAUACGCGAAAAGGUUGAGACACAUCCAAAUUUUAGGAAGAUUCUAUUGCCCCCGGACUAAUUAAAAUCGUAUUUUUGACAACCUUAGUGCCUAAGUGGCACAUAUGUGGCACACACGUGUGCCUACGUGGACCCUUCAGUGUGUAGUGCCACACAGGCACUAGGGUUGCCAAAAAUACGAUUUUAAUUAGUCCAGGGGUAAUAGGACCCUAUUAAAGUUCGGGUGUGUCUCAACCUUUUCGCAUAUUUUCUCUAAAAAUUAUAUAAUACUCCCUCUGUUCCGUCUAAGUUGACAUAGUUUUCUUUUUAAUAGUCAAAUAAUAUAAAUUUUGAUCAACAUUUUAAAAUAUAAUUUUUCAUCAAAUUGAUAUGAGAAAAAUUUGCAGAUUAUCGUACUUUUCUUAUAGUUUUGAAUAUUCAAGUUUUUAUUUCACAAUAUCGAAAUAAUCUAAUCUAAUUUUAAAAUUAUUCAAAUUGACUUCUGAAUAGUGAAACCUGAAAACUAAAAAAAAAAACAGACGGAGUAACGCAAAACAAAAUAUUAGUUUCAAAAAGUAAAAACUUAAUCGCUAUAUAUAAUAAAUUAUUAUUAUAGAAGAUGACUAUUACAAACAGAUUGUUGUACGUACCGUCAUUUUUCUUCUUCAAUUGAUAGAAUAAUGCACCAAUUUAAGACAAUAAUAUUCAUAAAAUAAAGUUCUAUGUUUUAAAGAUUUUGAUUAAUUACAAGUGACUUUGUUGUUCUAUUUAUCCUAAAAUCAUGUGGAAAAAUCAAACAACAAUUACAUCAAAGAAAAAAUAUCGCCAUCCAACAAGUGCAGGCUUAACGUGUCAUGAGUGUUAAACGUAUUAUAUUUUUAUCUAAAAGCUUAAGUUAUAAUUAGAUACGAUAACAUAUUUUAAUUUAUUUAUUUUAAUUACAAAUUCGAUAGAACUCAAAAAUAUUGACUAUAACCUUAUAUUUGUAAUAAAAAAUAUACUUAGUGGGUCGUUUGCACUUUUGCUCUAUUUUAUAUUGGUCUUUAAUUAAUAUCUUUCGUAACGAAUUUUUUUUUGCAUAAGGUUAUAUUUUGUAUCAUAAUAUUCUUUAAGUUCUGCGUGAUCAUAAUUUUAGUUUUUAUAGAGGCAUAAGUUCGACUGAUAAAGGGAAAAAAAAAUACAAACUAGCAUAUUUAAAGGCAAAAAUUAAAGACCAGCUUAUUUGAAAAGCAAAACGUGUAAUUUUAUGCUACUCAGUUUUAUUUUUUUCACGAUCCCUCGUCUGCAAGCCUCAUUCUUUUUCAUGGAUUGGGGCAGGAUGCAUGAAGUGGAGGCUUGCAUUGGGAGUGUUGUGUGAUAAGAAGGUGCCGCCCAAACUGAAAGGCAAGUUCUACAGAGUGGCAGUCCGGCUGGCCAUCCUGUAUGGAGCGGAGUGCUGGCCAGUCAAGAACUCUCAUGUUCAAAAUUGAAGGUGACGGAAAUGCGGAUGUUGCGUUGGAUGUGUGGGCUUACUAGGGGUGAUAGGGUUAGGAAUGAGAUUGUCCGCAAGAUGGUUGGAGUGUCUUCGCUGGAGGACAAGAUGCGGGAAGUUCGGCUGAGAUGGUUCGCGCAUGUGAUGAGGAGGGGCACGAAUGCCCCAGUUCAUAGGUGUGAUAUGCUAGCUUUGGAUAGUUUCAGGCGGGGUAGGGGUAGGUCGAAGAAGUUAGAGAGAGGUGAUUAGACGUGACAUAGAGAAGUUACAACUUACCGAGGACAUGACCCUAGAUAGGAAGGUGUGGAGGACGCAAAUUAGGAUAGAAGGCUAGUGCAUGUGGGAGGGUUGGGGUGGGGGGUUCGAGGGUGGGGGUGCCUUUGGUACGUUAGUAUAGGGUAUUACUGUGUGGAUGUCUUAUUUCUGUUGUGCCAUCUUGUUUCAUGCUUUUAUUAUGAACUUGUUAUUAUUCUUUGUCUUGAGCUGGGGUCUAUCAGAAAUAACCUUUCUACUUCUGCGGAGGUACUGGUAUGGAUUGCGUACAUCUUACCCUCCCCAGACCCCACUGUGUGGGAAUAUAUUACACUGGGUUUGUUGUUAUUGUUGUUAUAAGCACGUGAAUUUUAUUUCUUUUAUUAAUAAAAAAGAAUUUUGAACUUGAAAUCUAUCGACUGAUCUGAUAUAAUAUUAAAAUAUGUUUUCUUCUUGUCUAAAUGUUUAAACGAUAAGAGCGUGAAGCGUCCGCAAUGAGAGAAAAGAAUGACUAUUUUAUUAGUCUUAAUAUAUUAAUAAUUUUUUAAAGUUAUCAAUAUAUAAAUUUUAUUUAUAUACUCAAAUAUUGAGUUAUUUUAAUUGAACACGUGAACACACAUGAUGCAGUGUUCUUAUUAGGCACUUGAUUUAAAAUCUCAAAAAAACUUUUAUUUGUAUUCACAUGCGUCUAUUUACAACAACAACAGAAACAACAAAUCCAGUGUAUUCCCAUAUAUUGAGGUCUUGGGAGGGUAAGAUGUACGCAGUCCAUACCUCUACCUCUAAAGAAGUAGAAAGGUUGUUUCCGAUAGACCCCCGGCUCGAGACAUGGACUACUAAACAAAUUCAUAGUAAAGCAUGGAACAAGAUGGCAUAACAUAAAUACGACACCCACAAGUAAUAGUAAAGAGAGAAAAGUAAACUAACUCGUAAUAAAGCAUGAAAUAAGGUAUCAUAACAAGAAUAAUACCCUCACCAAUUAAUUCCCUACCCUAGCGACUCAAACUGACCCUAGCCUUCUGUCCUAAUUCACGUCUUCAAAUCUUCCUAUCUAGGGUCAUGUCCUCAGUGAGCUAUAACUGCUCCAUGUCCCGCCUAAUCACCUCUCCCCAGUACUUCUUCGGCCUACCCCUACUGAUACGAGUGCGAUCACGUACAUGGACUCUUGUGGGUGUGUAUUGAAGUCGUCCAAGUAUGUGUGUAAGAGAAGCGUAAUUAAGGGCCCAAAUACACACCAAAAACCAUCCAAAGCUAGCCUCUCACACCUACGAACCGGGGCAUCCAUGCCCCUCCUCAUCACGUGUCCGAACCAUCUCAAUCGGACUUCCCGCAUCUUAUUCUCCACUGGAGUCACACCAACCUUCUCCCUGAUAGUCUCAUUCCGAACUCUAUCCCCCUAGUCAUCCCACAGCAACAUCCGUAUUAGGAAGAAAUUCAUUUUUUGAAUGUGUGAGUUCUUAACUGGCCAACACUCCGCUCCAUACAACAUGGCCGGACAGACUGCCACCCUGUAGAAUUUGCCUUUAAACUUGGGGGGUACAUUCUUAUCACACAACACUCCCGAAGCGAGCUUCCACUUCAUCUAUCCCACCCCAAUACGGUGCGAGACCUCCUCGUCAAUCUCACCGUUACCCUGAAUCACGGACCCGAGAUACUUGAAACUAUCCCUCUUACAUACCACCUGUGAUUCCAACUUCACUACCACCUCAUUCUCCAGCCUCACGUCAUUAAACUUGCAUUCCAAAUACUCUGUCUUGCUCCUACUCAACCUGAACCCUUUAGACUCAAGAGUUUGUCUCCACACCUCUAAUUUAUCAUUCACACCCUCCCCUGUCUCAUCAAUCAAAACUACAUCAUCUGCAAAAAACAUACACCAAGGCACCUCUCCUUGAAUACGCCGCGUCAACACAUCCAUCAUCAAAGCAAACAAAAAGGGACUAAGAGUAGAUCCCUAAUGCAAUCCUGUCAAGACAGUGAAAUGCUCUGAGCCUCCUCCCGCCGUCCUCACCUAAGUUUUAGCUCUAUCAUACAUGUCCUUAAUUGCUCUGAUAUAUGCCACCUGGACUCCACUCACCUCCAAGCAUCUCCAAAGCACCUCCCUGGGGACUUUGUCAUAUGCCUUCUCCAAGUCGAUAAACACCAUGUGCAGGUCCUUCUUGCUUUCCCUAUACUGUUCCACCAGCCUCCGUACCAGGUGAAUUGCCUCCGUCGUCGAGCGGCCAGGCAUAAAUCUAAACUGGUUCUCCAAAAUAGACACUAUCCGUCUUAGCCUCACCUCGACCACUCUCUCCCAAAUCUUCAUAGAGUGACUCAAUAACUUAAUACCCCUAUAGUUAUUGCAACUCUGAAUGUCACCCUUGUUCUUAUAAAUAGGGAUCAUAGUACUCCACCUAUGGUUAAAUUAAUACAUAAUAUAUAUAUUUUUUAAUUAUACACAUCAAUCACAAUUGAAACAUGUCCAAAAUUUUAUGACUUAGUGAGACAAAUGCAUAUAAUUAAAAGAUGUAAUAUAUUUUAAGUCGUUAGUUAUCUACAUAAUGGAACUUGAGAGAAUUUAAAAAGAGUUUUCAAAAAUUUAAAUAAAAAAAAUCUAACAAGAAUAUUUUAUCAUGUGUUUAAAUAGUUAAAUUAAAAUAAAUCACAGCUCAAAUAUAGACAUAAAUUUAAGAAAUUGUCAGUAUUAAACCUUUUAUUAUUCUUAGUUAUAUUAGGAUAAAGAUGUUUCUAACAUGUGAACGUGUUUAGAAAGUUAACCGUAGUUCACGUUCAAGUUUCUUCUCAAAUUUGUUUUUGUGUAUAUAUAUAUUUUAACAUGAUGUUGUAUAUAUAUAUGUUAGAGUUGUGACCCGCAUUUUGUUGGUCUGAACCAAAAAGUUUCGCUGACUCAUGUUUGCGAUUUUCAAUGAGGUCUGUGGUGGUAGCAUAGGAUCGGGCCGAUAGGGGGUGUGGGGGCGAAACCCCCAUGAUAUGGACUUUUAUAUUUUUUGGGUUUAGGACUUAUUUGUAUGCACGUAUUAUAUAAAUGCAAUUAGUGAGUCGAUUUUGAUUAUUCAGAAAUUAUGUCGCUCCACAUUGUACUCCUCUCCUUUCAUAGUGAAGCUUCCUCUACCUCUGCCCGUGAUUUUUUCCGCAAGGGUUUUCACGUAAAUAUGUGUGUUUUUAUUUUCUUUCUGAUUGUAGUUUGCUUUAUUUCAGCCCAAUUUCUAAGCAAUAUAUAUUUGGUCUUUUUAACAGCUAUAAAUGUCUUAUUUUUCUUCAGAUACUAACACAAAAAUUUACAGUUAAAAUACUUUUCUUUUUUUACAAAAUUCAAGUGUGUAUUAUUAGAUAUAUAAAUUGCAAUGUGCGGCUGUGCAUCGUCAUCUGCGGAGGCAGAUGGGUUUGCACGUGGACCCGACGUUCCAAAGCAAUACAACUCUUCACGAACCAUUGCUUGUUUUCACGAAGCAGACUUUUUGGCAUUAAAUAUAUGAUUUUUCAUUAAAUAUUGACACGAAAAUUUGAAGUUAAAAUACUCCUUUUUUCUUACAAAACUCAAGUGUGAUUUAGUAUUUUUGAGUGAGUUUGUUGUUUGACAGAAUUUGAGGUGUAGUUUUUCAGCUGAAGUGUUUUCAUUUUAUCUUGGGAAAAUAUAUUCUUUAACGAUAGGUAGCUAAGGAGAAUAAUUUCCUUAAGAACACACUGUCGAUUCCCAAGACAUUUCCUUGGAAUUAGGAAUGUCUUGAAGAUGUGGUAAAUACAUUGGCUGAAGUUCUUUGAAAGAGGGUUUAAUCUCUCCAACGAUUUCCUGGAUACCACCAAUGUCAGGGUGAGGAGUAGCAAUUGAUUUGAAGGUUGCCUUACUCACUUUAGGAGCAACCAAAAUCCGUUUUGUUAACCCAAACCAUGACAGGUACGUCCAGGGGCGGCUCAAGCUCGUUAGUGGCCUAAAGCCAAAAAUAAUCGGACGCCUUAAGAUUUUGAAGAAAACUAAUUUUUUUUUUUUUUAAUUUAAAGUCUAUUCCUUAAGAUGCAAAGUUGUUAAUGUAUUUCUUACCAAAGUAUUUUGAGAACUCCUUUGUUUUAAUUUGCUUGUCUAUUUUGAUUUGAUAUGGUGUUUGGAGUUUAAUAAAGUAAAGAAAAUCUGUGUAUUUUAAACUAAAGAUAUAUAGAAUAUACCAAAAUGUUCUUUAAUAUUACGGUCUUAAACAUGUCCAAAAAAAUUGAAACUAAAAAGUUGACAAAAACAAUAUUUUUUUUUAAAUGAACUGAAAAAAAAUAGUACCGAAUAUUUCUUUUUUUUUUUUUGAAUCAUAUAAUAAAUUUAUUAUUGUUAAAAAAAAAAUUAGGCCUCUCAAAUUGGGGGCCUUAGGUGGUUGUCUUAUUCUCUAAGGCAUAGAGUCGCCCCUGGGUACGUCCUCACCAAUAUAUCACCUCUAUCAGACCUGUUCAGUGGACUUGAAUCUUCUGAUCUUUUAUCUCUUUCUAUAAGUUUGGCGGCUUACUAUUUUCUAGAAAUAGUUUGAACUUUCUUCUUGUUUUAAAGAUUUUUGAAACGAACAAGGAAAAAUAUUAUCAAGACGCGUGAAUAGAUUGACCUUGAAACAACAACGAUUAAUUACUCUUGCUAUAAAACAAGCCCGUAUUUUAUCUUUGUUACCUUUUCUCAAUAAUGAGAAACAAUUUGAAAGAACCGAGUCGACCGCUAGAACUACUGGUUUUAAAGCCCGAAAUAAAUAGGCUUACCUUUUCUUUACUUGAAUCAUAAUUACUCAAAUCUAGAUUCACUCAAAUCUAGAUUUGAGUAUCGUGUCGUAAGAAACAAAUGAAUCGGAAAAAACGAAAUCUGUUUUUAUUGAAUUGAACGUGUUCAUUCAUUUUGACUACUUUAGCAUAUUUUCUCAUACUAAUUUCUAACUCGUCCGGUAGAAGAAACCUCCAUUUAUUCUCAGGAGAGCCUGGGGAGUUUUUAAAGCCUCCGGUAAAGCCUCCGGUAAAGACUCUUUUCAAGAUUCCAAGUUGAUUUUGUUCAAAAUCAUAUAAAGACAAUUCCUAUUUGAUAUAGCUAUUUGUGCAAGUAUUUUACGGUUAAGAAGCAACCGUCUAUUGUACAAAUUAUGUAUUAAUUUACUAUAACCAUGGGAGACUCCCUUUUUACAAAUUGUUGCUUUUAUCCGAGUGAUCCACAAAUGACGCAAACGUCACUUUUUCCUAUCCCUAUCCCGAUGAGCUGAAACUAAAGCUCUUAUUUUCUGUUGAGUAAUAGUUCUAUUUAGCCUUGAAUGAGCCCCUCAAAAGCUUGAUGCAAAUAAACGAAUUUUUGCUCUACGUUUCCAAGCUACAUAUCCCCUUUUAAUUCUGGUCAUUGAAUAAAUGAAACUUUGACGAAUAACUAAUUGAUUACCUUUCUUUUCCCCCUUCCUAGUCUAUUAAUAACAAAAUGGAUUUUUCCAAUGUAUAAAAUCAAAAUUCCAAUGGCUUUGGCUACUCUAACCUUCCCAACCAUGAUUUUUUUUUUAGGUAUUUCACUGCGCAAUAAGUAAGAAAUAAGAAAUUGUAUUUUCCUAGGUAUCAAAAAUAGAGUAAAUAAAAGAAAUAAAAAAAGAAAUAGUGGUUCCUUCGUUUCUAUGGUUACUGCUUAAACGAUGAGGUCUUCUCUAUACACCGGAGCCUUUACUUUAGACUUUAAUUUAAUAUAUAUUUAAUCAACUAAUUGAUGUUAUUGGGAACUUGUAUAGUUCACACGCUUUGGCUCUACCCAUGAAUUAUCCAGUAAUAGGUCUUUCACAAUCAGAUCUACCUAUACAGUAACGGUAUUUAAUUAUGAAAGUUUGCUGGGUAGCUGACCCUCUUAGUCCGUUCUUGCCAGAUUGGGAGCCUAACUAAUCUUUAUGUUUUAUGCUUUUAAAAUAAGAUUUAC
RNAcentral lists this long non-coding RNA (32689 nucleotides) under Capsicum annuum. Its description in RNAcentral is "long non-coding RNA (CANN_LNC015069)". Lineage: Eukaryota; Viridiplantae; Streptophyta; Magnoliopsida; Solanales; Solanaceae. The record is from RNAcentral.